This 92-nucleotide transfer RNA is filed under the name Streptomyces platensis. RNAcentral describes it as "tRNA-Leu". RNAcentral also lists the same sequence under 1 other name. The record is from RNAcentral. Lineage: Bacteria; Bacillati; Actinomycetota; Actinomycetes; Kitasatosporales; Streptomycetaceae.
UCAGCGGCUGGGGCGCGGGAAUCUGCGCGGUCAGCACGCGGGCUGCUUGCGGGGGUAGGCAGCCGGCCAGUUCGACGCGUUCGUCGCCGGUC